GAUGAACGCUGGCGGCGUGCCUAAUACAUGCAAGUCGAGCGAACAGACGAGGAGCUUGCUCCUCUGACGUUAGCGGCGGACGGGUUAGUAACACGUGGAUAACCUACCUAUAAGACUGUGAUAACUUCGGGAAACCGUAGCUAAUACCGGAUAAUAUAUUGAACCGCAUGGUUCAAUAGUGAAAGACGGUUUUGCUGUCACUUAUAGAUGGAUCCGCGCCGCAUUAGCUAGUUGGUAAGGUAACGGCUUACCAAGGCAACGAUGCGUAGCCGACCUGAGAGGGUGAUCGGCCACAGUGGAACUGAGACACGGUCCAGACUCCUACGGGAGGCAGCAGUAGGGAAUCUUCCGCAAUGGGCGAAAGCCUGACGGAGCAACGCGGCGGGAGUGAUGAAGGUCUGCGGAUGGUAAAACUCUGUUAUUAGGGAAGAACAAAUGUGUAAGUAACUAUGCACGUCUGGACGGUACCGAAGCAGAAAGCCACGGCUAACUACGG
Molecule: ribosomal RNA, 496 nt
Filed under: uncultured bacterium
Lineage: Bacteria
Description: partial 16S ribosomal RNA
Rfam family: Bacterial small subunit ribosomal RNA
Source: RNAcentral